RNAcentral lists this ribosomal RNA (460 nucleotides) under uncultured bacterium. RNAcentral's name for it is "partial 16S ribosomal RNA". It matches the Rfam family "Bacterial small subunit ribosomal RNA", at positions 338 to 795 of the family's 1533-position model. The record is from RNAcentral.
CCUACGGGCGGCUGCAGUGAGGAAUAUUGGUCAAUGGACGAGAGUCUGAACCAGCCAAGUAGCGUGAAGGAUGACUGCCCUAUGGGUUGUAAACUUCUUUUAUAUGGGAAUAAAAUGUUCCACGUGUGGGAUUUUGUAUGUACCAUAUGAAUAAGGAUCGGCUAACUCCGUGCCAGCAGCCGCGGUAAUACGGAGGAUCCGAGCGUUAUCCGGAUUUAUUGGGUUUAAAGGGAGCGUAGGUGGAUUGUUAAGUCAGUUGUGAAAGUUUGCGGCUCAACCGUAAAAUUGCAGUUGAAACUGGCAGUCUUGAGUACAGUAGAGGUGGUCGGAAUUCGUGGUGUAGCGGUGAAAUGCUUAGAUAUCACGAAGAACUCCGAUUGCGAAGGCAGUUCACUGGACUGCAACUGACACUGAGGCUCGAAAGUGUGGGUAUCAAACAGGAUUAGAUACCCUUGUAGUC